RNAcentral lists this ribosomal RNA (460 nucleotides) under uncultured bacterium. RNAcentral's name for it is "partial 16S ribosomal RNA". It matches the Rfam family "Bacterial small subunit ribosomal RNA", at positions 338 to 795 of the family's 1533-position model. The record is from RNAcentral.
CCUACGGGAGGCUGCAGUGAGGAAUAUUGGUCAAUGGACGAGCGUCUGAACCAGCCAAGUAGCGUGAAGGAUGACUGCCCUAUGGGUUGUAAACUUCUUUUAUAUGGGAAUAAAACAGGGUAUGCAUACACUCUUGUAUGUACCAUAUGAAUAAGGAUCGGCUAACUCUGUGCCAUCAGCCGCGUUGAUACGGAGGAUCCGAGCGUUAUCCGGAUUUAUUGGGUUUAAAGGGAGCGUAGGUGGAUUGUUAAGUCAGUUGUGAACGUUUGCGGCUCAACCGUAAAAUUGCAGUUGAAACUGGCAGUCUUGAGUACAGUAGAGGUGGGCGGAAUUCGUGGUGUAGCGGUGAAAUGCUUAGAUAUCACGAAGAACUCCGAUUGCGAAGGCAGCUCACUGGACUGCAACUGACACUGAUGCUCGAAAGUGUGGGUAUCAAACAGGAUUAGAUACCCUAGUAGUC